Molecule: long non-coding RNA, 1019 nt
Filed under: Lupinus mutabilis
Lineage: Eukaryota; Viridiplantae; Streptophyta; Magnoliopsida; Fabales; Fabaceae
Description: partial ncRNA
Source: RNAcentral
UCUUCGUCCAGCCAUGGACUAAGUGUUUUCACCCAUACCCCUUUCUAUUCAAUAUUUUGUUUCCACGUUUUGGUUCCAUUUUAUCUCUAGAAAUGCAUCAAGACGCAUAUAGUGCUUGUGUGCAAUAUUCCCUUGUGUUUUUUCCUUCGGGGCUUCCGACGACUUUGUCUUUUCUCUAACAACUGUCUCUCCUUAUGCUUAUAUGUCGUUUUUCCUUUUUAUGCUCUCUGACCUUAUUUGUGGAUGUGCUUCUGGUUGCUUGUGUGACGCAUAUAGUGCCUGUGUAUUGCUGCUCGUUUUUUGCUCUCUGGUUUUUUUGCUUUUUUUCUUCCGUGGUGUUGUUUUCGGUAGGUGCCUUUGGUGUGUUUGUAUUGGAGACGUAUGUGUGUCAAGACAUGCUUUUCUCUGUGUUGUAUAUCCCUUCUGUGCUUGUACCCAUAUAUUCUCUGGUGUCUUUUUAUAGUCUCUUACAUGCUCUUCGCCCUUUUUAUGUAUGUCUUCUCUCCAUGCUAACUCUGAUUUUUCUGCCUUUUAAAUAGUCCUCUGGUGUUUAGGUGUGAAACCUUUGGAUUGCUGAAUGAAUGUAACUAUCCUUUUCAUUGCCAUUAUCUUAACAAAUGUGUAACUGAUAGCAUAAAUGUCAAUGAUCAAUGAUUUUAGAUUUGCCCAACUUAAUUCAGUAACGUUUUGCCCUUUGGGUUUUAUGCUCAUGACUGAUUGUUGGUUGUAACUGAAGGACCAAUGGUUUCUGAAUUGUUUUCAUUCAUUUAAUUUAUGACUUUUUUUAUGCCCUGAUUCAUGAUUGUCCCUCUUUCUAUUUUCUUUUAAUAUUAACCUAUCAAUGGUUGAAAUGUAACCAUAUCUUAUAUGCUUGUAGAGUCACAUAUUGAGUCAAUCAUCCUUGCUAAAUUGAAUAAUGUUGUGGACAUAUGCAUGCUAUUUUCUUGUUUAUAGUAUUUGUCUUAUUUCUUUUAUUUGCAUAACAUAGUAUCCAAUCUCACAUCGGUUUAUUUCUGUAC